AUUGAACGCUGGCGGCAUGCUUUACACAUGCCAGUCGAACGGUAACAGGCCGCAAGGUGCUGACGAGUGGCGAACGGGUGAGUAAUGCAUCGGAACGUGCCCAGUCGUGGGGGAUAACUACUCGAAAGAGUAGCUAAUACCGCAUACGAUCUAUGGAUGAAAGCGGGGGACCGUAAGGCCUCGCGCGAUUGGAGCGGCCGAUGUCAGAUUAGGUAGUUGGCGGGGUAAAGGCUCACCAAGCCAACGAUCUGUAGCUGGUCUGAGAGGACGACCAGCCACACUGGGACUGAGACACGGCCCAGACUCCUACGGGAGGCAGCAGUGGGGAAUUUUGGACAAUGGGCGCAAGCCUGAUCCAGCAAUGCCGCGUGCAGGAAGAAGGCCUUCGGGUUGUAAACUGCUUUUGUACGGAACGAAACGGCUCUGGUUAAUACCCGGGGCUAAUGACGGUACCGUAAGAAUAAGCACCGGCUAACUACGUG
RNAcentral lists this ribosomal RNA (482 nucleotides) under uncultured bacterium. RNAcentral's name for it is "partial 16S ribosomal RNA". It matches the Rfam family "Bacterial small subunit ribosomal RNA", at positions 30 to 507 of the family's 1533-position model. The record is from RNAcentral.